CACAACAAGACUAGUACAGUCUAAAGUAAAAUACCUGAUGGAACAAAGUUUCGCUUAUCAAUAUGAUUCUAGUGGGGUGCAAGAACAAGAAUAUCAUAUGACAGCGGUACACAGACCUCCAUAAUGCUUUUAACAUGAUAUUCCCCAGCCCAACAUCCCACAAAAUAUGACAUAAUCGCUAAGAAUGUAAAUGUAUGACUGUAUGAGCAGUAGGCCAGUAACAAUAAAUGCGUGUCAAAAAGGUUGGUAUGAGAAAAUGAAGGAAACCAGAAUACCGUAAGGAAGUUGCCGGUGUUCUGCCCAUCAGCCCGGUGAUAGUUGUUGGUUUGGCUGGUGACCCCUGCAGCAACCUGCUUAGUCACAUCAGGCUUGGGAGGAGCUGGUUUCCCAGCAGGAGGAGCACAUGCGGCUGGUGCAGCUGGUGCCACUGCUGGCUUUGGGGCCUCAUCAUUUCCAAAGAGGUAGCCCAGUUGACUUGAACCACCACCGGCACUACCACCACGACUCAUCUUGAUUGUUGAAAGGAGAAACUGUACAAAGAUGCAAAUCAGGUAUCAGGCAUGAUUCCAAUACACAAUGCGUAAAGAGAAACAUAAGUGCAUCAAUUUAAUCUUCAACACUCCAAGUUAACAUCGACAAUGAUCUGCCAUCGAUGCUUG
Molecule: long non-coding RNA, 659 nt
Filed under: Setaria viridis
Lineage: Eukaryota; Viridiplantae; Streptophyta; Magnoliopsida; Poales; Poaceae
Description: long non-coding RNA (SVIR_LNC011192)
Source: RNAcentral